Molecule: ribosomal RNA, 253 nt
Filed under: uncultured prokaryote
Description: partial 16S ribosomal RNA
Rfam family: Bacterial small subunit ribosomal RNA
Source: RNAcentral
ACGGAGGGGGCUAGCGUUGUUCGGAAUUACUGGGCGUAAGGCGCGCGUAGGCGGCUUUGUAAGUUAGAGGUGAAAGCCCGGAGCUCAACUCCGGAACUGCCUUUAAGACUGCAUCGCUAGAACGUUGGAGAGGUGAGUGGAAUUCCGAGUGUAGAGGUGAAAUUCGUAGAUAUUCGGAAGAACACCAGUGGCGAAGGCGACACACUGGCCCGUUACUGACGCUGAGGCGCGAAAGCGUGGGGAGCAAACAGGA